RNAcentral lists this ribosomal RNA (454 nucleotides) under uncultured bacterium. RNAcentral describes it as "bacterial SSU rRNA". It matches the Rfam family "Bacterial small subunit ribosomal RNA", at positions 326 to 793 of the family's 1533-position model. The record is from RNAcentral.
ACUCGUGAGACUCCUACGGGGAGGCAGCAGUGGGGGAAUCAUUGCGCAAUGGGCGAAAGCCUGACGCAGCCAUGCCGCGUGAAUGAUGAAGGUCUUAGGAUUGUAAAAUUCUUUCACCGGGGACGAUAAUGACGGUACCCGGAGAAGAAGCCCCGGCUAACUUCGUGCCAGCAGCCGCGGUAAUACGAAGGGGGCUAGCGUUGCUCGGAAUUACUGGGCGUAAAGGGAGCGUAGGCGGACAUUUUAAGUCAGGGGUGAAAUCCCGGGGCUCAACCUCGGAAUUGCCUUUGAUACUGGGUGUCUUGAGUAUGAGAGAGGUGUGUGGAACUCCGAGUGUAGAGGUGAAAUUCGUAGAUAUUCGGAAGAACACCAGUGGCGAAGGCGACACACUGGCUCAUUACUGACGCUGAGGCUCGAAAGCGUGGGGAGCAAACAGGAUUAGAUACCCUGGUAG